UAAUGGGUCAGCGACUUAUAUUCUGUAGCAAGGUUAACCGAAUAGGGGAGCCGAAGGGAAACCGAGUCUUAACUGGGCGUUAAGUUGCAGGGUAUAGACCCGAAACCCGGUGAUCUAGCCAUGGGCAGGUUGAAGGUUGGGUAACACUAACUGGAGGACCGAACCGACUAAUGUUGAAAAAUUAGCGGAUGACUUGUGGCUGGGGGUGAAAGGCCAAUCAAACCGGGAGAUAGCUGGUUCUCCCCGAAAGCUAUUUAGGUAGCGCCUCGUGAAUUCAUCUCCGGGGGUAGAGCACUGUUUCGGCAAGGGGGUCAUCCCGACUUACCAACCCGAUGCAAACUGCGAAUACCGGAGAAUGUUAUCACGGGAGACACACGGCGGGUGCUAACGUCCGUCGUGAAGAGGGAAACAACCCAGACCGCCAGCUAAGGUCCCAAAGUCAUGGUUAAGUGGGAAACGAUGUGGGAAGGCCCAGACAGCCAGGAUGUUGGCUUAGAAGCAGCCAUCAUUUAAAGAAAGCGUAAUAGCUCACUGGUCGAGUCGGCCUGCGCGGAAGAUGUAACGGGGCUAAACCAUGCACCGAAGCUGCGGCAGCGACACUAUGUGUUGUUGGGUAGGGGAGCGUUCUGUAAGCCUGUGAAGGUGUGCUGUGAGGCAUGCUGGAGGUAUCAGAAGUGCGAAUGCUGACAUAAGUAACGAUAAAGCGGGUGAAAAGCCCGCUCGCCGGAAGACCAAGGGUUCCUGUCCAACGUUAAUCGGGGCAGGGUGAGUCGACCCCUAAGGCGAGGCCGAAAGGCGUAGUCGAUGGGAAACAGGUUAAUAUUCCUGUACUUGGUGUUACUGCGAAGGGGGGACGGAGAAGGCUAUGUUGGCCGGGCGACGGUUGUCCCGGUUUAAGCGUGUAGGCUGGUUUUCCAGGCAAAUCCGGAAAAUCAAGGCUGAGGCGUGAUGACGAGGCACUACGGUGCUGAAGCAACAAAUGCCCUGCUUCCAGGAAAAGCCUCUAAGCAUCAGGUAACAUCAAAUCGUACCCCAAACCGACACAGGUGGUCAGGUAGAGAAUACCAAGGCGCUUGAGAGAACUCGGGUGAAGGAACUAGGCAAAAUGGUGCCGUAACUUCGGGAGAAGGCACGCUGAUAUGUAGGUGAAGCGACUUGCUCGUGGAGCUGAAAUCAGUCGAAGAUACCAGCUGGCUGCAACUGUUUAUUAAAAACACAGCACUGUGCAAACACGAAAGUGGACGUAUACGGUGUGACGCCUGCCCGGUGC
RNAcentral lists this ribosomal RNA (1270 nucleotides) under Escherichia coli. Its description in RNAcentral is "partial 23S ribosomal RNA". It matches the Rfam family "Bacterial large subunit ribosomal RNA", at positions 613 to 1869 of the family's 2925-position model. Lineage: Bacteria; Pseudomonadati; Pseudomonadota; Gammaproteobacteria; Enterobacterales; Enterobacteriaceae. The record is from RNAcentral.